Molecule: long non-coding RNA, 3209 nt
Organism: Hemicordylus capensis (graceful crag lizard)
Lineage: Eukaryota; Metazoa; Chordata; Lepidosauria; Squamata; Cordylidae
Exons: 3
Source: RefSeq, a predicted model, not a curated record
CCUAACCAUUCUUAAAGCAGUAACAGGCUUCAGGAAAGAGCAGCAGGGAACAACAUAGGGAGGCAGUAGGCAAACAAAAUGGAGGCAGAGACAACAUGGUUGAUUGAGAAAUUUAAGGUCAAGCAAGAUCAUUUGAAUGAGAGCAAUAAAAGAAAAUAUUACAUUGCCUACGAUGCCAAAAAAAAAAAAAGAGGAAAGAGAAAAUGAAUCUGCAGAAGAAGCAGAGAGGGGAAAAAAUGAAAGAAAAGGGACAGAAAGCGAAGAGCAGGAAAAAAAAAAUCUAAGAGGACAGAAAGAACAACUGACCAAAUUCUUGAAACAUCCCCCCCUCCCCGCCGCCAAAAAACAUCCAAGAACAAAGUGCACUGAUGUGCAGAAAGGACUGCAAAAAGACAUCAAAUACACAUUGGAAACUGAAGAAACAACUGAACAACCAAAUUCUCGCAACAAAACUCCAAAAAGAUACAACAACUUGAAGACAUGGCACAUGUACAAAGGACUUUUUUUUAAUGGUACAUAACGUCUUUUGAGUAGCAAAAUCCUGAAUUCCUGUUAGCUGCUGACUGGAAAGCAUUCCUUUAAAGCAAUGAUUACUGCCUCAAAAAUAGUAAGUGUAUCCUAAGAAUGGAAGAGUAACAACUAACAAUGACAUGGUAGCUUUGGUAUGAAUUUUGUGAACUGUGGAUUUGAAUUGCUUGAGGGCUAUUAGCUCACCUCAGAUGAAAACUGUGGCUUAUUACUAUGGAAAUGAGCCAAGAAAGCUAUGGACUUAUUGCUCCCCUACACUGCUGUGUGAGAGAAGAGUGAAAACUUUUGUUUUCACUUUGAAACAAACUACAAUUUUAUGUUAUACAUAAACUUGAGUAAUUGUGGUUGGUAACUAACUAGACUAGAAUCAACCAGGUUAUCAAAUCCUGGUGUGAUAUUUUGCCUUUUAAAAAACUAUAGUUUGUUAACAAACCACAUUUUCUUGCGUUAUUAUGUAAAGAGGGACAGCAGUUUGUUUUUAAUAUGAAAGUAUAAGUGGCUAGAGAGAGUUUUUCUCCUCUUUCUUAUUUCAACAGGAUCACACAAUGAAAUUGAUUGGCAGUAGAUUUAGGUCAAAAGAAAGCAUUUCUUCACACAAUGUAUGAAGUUAUGAGUUAUGUUGCUGUAAAAUGUGGUGAUGGGCACUAGCUCUAAUUAGCUUUAAAAGGGGAUUAGACACAUUCAUGAGACCGGUCUAUCAACAGCUAUUUGUCAGGAGCGCUACAGGGUAAUAGGGCAGGAUAUGCUGAGAUUGGUGGGUUUGGUUGGCGUGACCAGUUUUGGCAUAUCCUGCCCUACUUCACUCAGGGAACCUGUCACUCAAGAUCUCAGUUACAGAUGUCAGGUUCCCUUUGGGAAGUAGGGUAUGAUAUGCCAAGACUGGUGACUUUGGACAACCUGACCAAUCUCAGCAUAUUGGAACCUACAACAGUAGGGGCCCCUGUUAUGAUGGGCAGGAGCUUGAGUUCUUGGACAGGGGCAACCUCAGGUGCUGCUGCUACAUGUGAACCCACCCUAAAUGGGCCACAUGUAGACAUAUUCCAUAAGAAAGCCAUUUUAAUCUUGUGCAGCAAAAACAGAGUGUACUGACACAUCACAAACCAACACAUUCAUUGUUAGUAUAUUGGCCUAAGCUUCCAUGGAGUAAAGACUACUUUUAUCAGAUGCAUGAAAUGCUGUGCUCAACUGGCAAGGAUAUUUAGCAACAUGGGUAGCGAGAGAAAAAAUGAUUUUGAACAGUGAGACCAAAAGUCCCUGAAAUGCAAGGAGGUAGAUUUCUAUGUAGAGCCCAAUGCAUAUGACAUGUUUCAUCUUGUAUACUUUUAGGAUCUGCAUAGAUAUGUGAACACUUCAUGCAUCAUAUACAUUUGCUAGUCUUUAAGAUGCCACAGGACUCUUUGUAGCAGGGUCACUGACUGAAUCAGCAUAAACAACAAAGAGCUAGCCCAGACUUUAGUAAUAAUCCUCUUCUUCAAGAUAGCAAGCUCUUUGUUUCAUUAUGAUUUGUUAGAAAGUGAGAAUAUCUUUGAACGAGUUCCAGUCACAAUCUGUAAUAUUGGUACAAUAUGUAGAAGUGGUUUAUUUUGAUGUGAACUCCUAGUGUCAAAAUGUGCUAAUUUUCACAGUACAGAAAAGUAUCAGCAAUUUUUUUAUGGAAGUAGAUCAACUGUGUGGGUAACAAUUUCAUUACAUUGUGUUGUCUUACUUGAACAUACAACCCUAGACCAACAUGCCAGUAACUAUACUGUUACCUUUUCUGUUCAGUUGCCAUGUGUUGUCUACUUCUCUAGUGACUUAUUACAACAUCAUACAAUAAAUAGGUAAGCUUAUUCUUCAAUGGUUACUGACAGUCUCACAACUUAGACAUAUUUAAUUCAUACAAGGAAUUUUUCAUUUAGUGUAAACCAGCAUGGGAAAAAUUACUGAUUUUGCAACAUGUGCUUUCUCUGAAGUCACUACAGAAUCAAAACUACACAGUAUAACCCUUUAACUUAACUUACCCAUUCAGUGAUUUUUGUUAUUGAGAAACUUCAUUUUCUAAAUCAUGAAAUGAAAACUACAUUGCAACACCAAAUGUUCAUGCUACAGUGUCCUCAGCUGAACAGCCUGUGUCAUCAAUAGUAAUAAUUUAAGAAAAGGUUUUUUUCAAGCUCAUUAUAUAUACUUUUCUCAUGACUGGGAACUUUAAAAACCCAUCUUGAAUGUAAAAAUGUGAAUUUGAAUAUGUAAACAUUUUUAUAUACCUGAAACACUGAAAGUAAAUAUUAGAUACAAGCCAGAUCACUGCAUUAGUAUGUCAAAAUAAGGAAAAUAAUGUUAUGGGAAGCAGGGAAAAGGUCACCCUAUUCAGUCUUGAAACGUUUCUAAGAAAUAAAGUUCAACUGGCUUUUUAAAAAUACUGCCUAGUUGGGAGCAGUUAUGUGGAGAAAAUGGCCCAGCAGAAUAUCACAAUGUUUCACCAUAAUCAUUUAUCCAUUAGUUAAACGUUGACAGUUUUUAUUUUCCUGAGUAAAGUCAUUGAUGUUUCAAUGUCUCCUGUAAUUGUUCAAAUAAAAUAAGGCAGUUAAAGGUAAUGUCACUGAUUUUUUCCCCCCUUCCAGAAGUUCAUCUGCAGAGUCUUCAAUAGAACAAAGUCUCUGGUUUUUCUAGAAAUGAAUAAUAAAGUUGCCUUCGGUCCCCCA